GACGAACGCUGGCGGCGUGCCUAAUACAUGCAAGUCGAACGGAAAGGCCCUGCUUUUGCGGGGCGCUCGAGUGGCGAACGGGUGAGUAACACGCGAGUAACCCGUCCUUGACUUUGGGAUAACAUUAGGAAACUGGGGCUAAUAUCGGAUAGGAGCUCUUGCUGCACGGUGGGGGAUGGAAAGAUUCGGCGGUUGGGGAUGGACUCGCGGCUUAUCCGCUUGUUGGGGGGGUAGUGGCUUACCAAGGCUUUGACGGGUAGCCGGCCUGAGAGGGUGACCGGCCACAUUGGGACUGAGAUACGGCCCAGACGCCUACGGGAGGCAGCAGGGGGGAAUAUUGCACAGUAAGCGGGAGCCUGAGGCAGCAGCGCCGCGUGCGGGAUGACGGCCUUCGAGUUGUGAACCGCUUUCGCCUGUGACGAGGCGUGAGUGACGGUAAUGAGUAAAGAAGCACCGGCUAACUACGUG
RNAcentral lists this ribosomal RNA (468 nucleotides) under uncultured bacterium. RNAcentral's name for it is "partial 16S ribosomal RNA". It matches the Rfam family "Bacterial small subunit ribosomal RNA", at positions 28 to 507 of the family's 1533-position model. The record is from RNAcentral.